GGCCUGAUGGCUCAGUGGUUAAAGCGCUAGCUAUAUAUGCUGGAGGUCCUGGGUUUGAUUCUCAGUCAGGUCA
Molecule: transfer RNA, 73 nt
Filed under: Panus rudis PR-1116 ss-1
Lineage: Eukaryota; Fungi; Basidiomycota; Agaricomycetes; Polyporales; Panaceae
Description: tRNA-Ile
Rfam family: tRNA
About the family: Transfer RNA (tRNA) molecules are approximately 80 nucleotides in length.
Source: RNAcentral